GUCCUCGGGGUGGAAAGUGCAGCGCCUGCCCGUGCGAGCCCCGCAGGAGCGGGGUCGAGCGCGGCGCGGGCUCUCCCGGACUGCUGGACAGCCGGGGUCCAGCCUGGGGGUUCAGUGGCGGCCGAGGAGGGAGGCGCUGGGGGUGCCGAGCCUCUGGAGGGCUCCUGAGCUGGGGGCUGGCAGAGUUGGGGCUCCCGCCCUGGAGUUGCGAGACCCUCCUUUGUCGAUCACACUGAGGUCUACUUCCUAGAAAAUUACUGGAAGGAACAUGAGAAAAUUCCCAUAGGACUGUGAAAGGGAAGAGGAACCAGCUGUCACCCUGAUGUCUGUGAUGUGUGCCAGGCUGGUCUUGAACUCCUGAGCUCAAGCGGUCUUCCUGCCUCAACCUUCCAAAGUGCUGGGAUUACAGGCGUGAGCCACCACACCCAGCUUAAGCUGUGUCUUGACAGAUGUGUACUGUGUUCAGUAGGUACAUAAGAGGAAAGGAUACUUCAGGCAGAGGAAACAGCAUCAACAAAAGCAUGGUAAGAUGGAACAACAGUUUGUUCAGGGAGCUGAAAAUACUUUAGCAUGACUAUAGGCUGGGAGUGGGAAGGGGCUGGAUAGAUAGGUAGGGUCCUGCGUGUGUGGGGCCUUAUAUGUCAUUCGAAGACGUCCAUAUUUUAAUCUGAAGGCAGUGGAGCUAUUGCAGUGUUUGUGAAAGGGGAGUGCUGUGAUGGAUUGAUGCUGUCAGUGAAGUCCGAGUGGAGGACACUUUGAGGCAGGUGGGAAUUGGAGACAGGGAGGCCAGGAAGGGAAAGACUAUAGUUAGUCUAUGGUGAUGAACAUGGAAAUGUCCUGUGACUCAUCAGAAUGAUAUUAAUAGCAGCUGACAUUCACAGAGCCCUCACUGAGUGGCCAGAUUCUGUGUGAGGUGCUUUUCAUUUAUUAUCUUAUUUAAC
Microcebus murinus (gray mouse lemur) is the source of this 941-nucleotide non-coding RNA. The record is from RefSeq and is a predicted model, not a curated record. NCBI's taxonomy places the organism in Eukaryota, Metazoa, Chordata, Mammalia, Primates, Cheirogaleidae.